Long non-coding RNA from Gasterosteus aculeatus aculeatus (three-spined stickleback), 1443 nucleotides. The record is from Ensembl. NCBI's taxonomy places the organism in Eukaryota, Metazoa, Chordata, Actinopteri, Perciformes, Gasterosteidae.
GCCGCCGACUACUGCUGACGAGUUCCGUGUCCGCGAGCUAGAGCGGCCGCCGACUACUGCUGACGUGUUCAGUGUCCCCGAACUCGAGCCGCCGCCGACCCCCCCGGAGGGUUCCCGUGUCCCCGAGCCUGCCAUGCCAGAGACGUUCCGGAGCCGGCCAAAUGACCGUCCGCCGGGCCGACCACCGGAGGCUCCCCGGUCGCCUGGCCGCCCGCCGGGCCGCCCGCCAGAGUUUCCUGGGUGGCCCGACCAUUGUCUCUGGUUUCCCUCCCCCCCACCCCUUGUUUCGCUCUAGUGUGAGCCGCCUGGAAGUCGGCCCUUAAGGGGGGGGUACUGUCACGGUGUGGUUCACUUCAUGUUAUAUUUUGUAGUUUUCUGCCACUUGUGUCCCCGGGUAACUUCACUUCCUGCCUUGUCCCGUCAUCCCCUGUGAUCGUCUUAAUAGUUUACACCUGUGUCCAAUCACCUGCACCUCCCUAGUGUAUUUUAGCCGUGUGUCUCUUGUGUCACUUGUCGCGUCAUUGUCUUUUGCCACGCUUGUUCUUGUCUUUCGUCCUGGAUCUCUGUAGUUUUUUGCCUAUGUGCUUUUGCCCCCGGUUCCUGUGUUUUUGACCUUUUUGACUAUUAAAGUGUUUUGUUUGGAGAAGUCUGCAUUUGAGUCCUGCCUUCCACCCUCAACCCUGACAGUGAUCAGUUUCUUCUGAGGGCCAUCAACCUUUGUCUCCUAAACGGCUGCGCUGACUACUUCCCCGUUAAGUAGAGCUCAAAUUCUCCUUCCUGGACCUGAAUUGGUGAGCCUGCAUCUCGACUAAGGCCUCCAAACAUCAAGGCGACCUGAAAUCAGACUUAAGUAUUUUUUUUUUUAAACCUAGCUAGUCUGAUAAGUCUGCUAAAUUAAGGUUUAGAUUGGUAUUUACCUUCAACGUUUGCGUAGCUGCGCCGCUUGCAGGACAAAGACAAGGGAGUCUUCGGGGCAUCUGAAUGUGGCACCUUCCUCUGCUAUUUUUAAUAAUGUGUUUGACCCCCUUACCUGUACCUGUUCGAAUCUCUUCCCGCAGAUACUACCGCCCUCGGGCUAGAUCUGCUCUCAAUCGUAACCUCCUCUCUUACCUAUCCCACCCGCUCCACACAUGUCCAGCACCUUGUCAGAGGAGGCCUCUGGAACUGCCAGUCAGCUACUCGCAAGGCAGACUUCAUCUCAGGCAUUGCUAUCCAGCAGUCUGUUGACUUCCUCCCUCUCACUGAGACCUGGAUCACACCGGAGAACACAUCUACCCCAGCUGCUCCCUCCUGCUUUCUCCUUUAGACCCCCUGGUAGGGUGGUAGCACAGGUUUACUCAAUUCACCCAAAUGAAGCUUUUCUCAUUACCCUCUUCCGCCGUCCAUCCUACCGUCUUUCGAAUUCUAUGCUGUUAGUUACUCACCCGGUACAAUUAAAUAUUG